UGAAGACCAACCUAGCUGAUGAUCCUGGGCAGUUUGUUUGGGCGAAAUAUUCUUUAGAAGACUUUUCUGUGGCCCCAGUCAUCCCAGACACACUAUGAAGUAACCAUAUUCAUGCUGACCUUGAUGCAAACGUUGCUAGACAAACUUCCAGCCUGGGAGAUGCUGAAACUUAUGUCCACCUGAUGUUCCAGUCUGAAGAAUCCAAUCGUGUGAGAUAUUCUGUAGAGGUUUUCACCACGUCCGUAGUCAUCUGAGACUCACUGUCACCCCGAUGAACCUAUGUUCCUCCUGAUCUGGUGCAAAUGUUGCUAGACAAACUUCCAGCCUUGAAGACAAGAAACUCAAUUUCACCUGGUGGUCCAAUCUACACAAUCCAGCUGUGUGAGAUGUUCCUUGGAGGUUUUCACCACGUCCUUAGUCAUCUGAGAGUCACUGUCACCCUGAUGUACCUAUGCUCCUCCUGAUCUGGUGCAAAUGUUGCUAGACAAACUUCUAGCCUGGAAGACGAGAAAUUCAUUUUCGCCUGAUGUUCCAAUCUGCAGAAUCAUCUGUGUGAGAUGUUCUGUGGAGGUUUUCACCACAUCAUUAGUUAUCUGAGCUGUCAUCUAUCCUGUUUAGAGUCACUGUCACCCCGAUGUACCUGUGUUCCUCCUGAUGUGGUGCAAACGUUGCUAGACAAAUUUCCAGUCUGGAAGAUGAGAAAUUCAUUUUCGCCUGAUGUUCCAAUCUGCAGAAUCAUCUGUGUGAGAUGUUCUGUGGAGGUUUUCACCA
Molecule: long non-coding RNA, 771 nt
Organism: Talpa occidentalis (Iberian mole)
Lineage: Eukaryota; Metazoa; Chordata; Mammalia; Eulipotyphla; Talpidae
Exons: 10
Source: RefSeq, a predicted model, not a curated record